UACGUAGGUGGCAAGCGUUGUCCGGAAUUAUUGGGCGUAAAGAGCUCGUAGGCGGUCUGUCGCGUCUGCUGUGAAAACUCGGGGCUUAACCCCGGGCCUGCAGUGGGUACGGGCAGACUAGAGUGCGGUAGGGGAGACUGGAAUUCCUGGUGUAGCGGUGAAAUGCGCAGAUAUCAGGAGGAACACCGGUGGCGAAGGCGGUUCUCUGGGCAUUACCUGACGCUGAGGAGCGAAAGUGUGGGGAGCGAACAGG
This 253-nucleotide ribosomal RNA is filed under the name uncultured bacterium. Its description in RNAcentral is "partial 16S ribosomal RNA". It matches the Rfam family "Bacterial small subunit ribosomal RNA", at positions 524 to 776 of the family's 1533-position model. The record is from RNAcentral.